Molecule: ribosomal RNA, 434 nt
Filed under: uncultured bacterium
Lineage: Bacteria
Description: partial 16S ribosomal RNA
Rfam family: Bacterial small subunit ribosomal RNA
Source: RNAcentral
AGCGAACGCUGGCGGCAGGCCUAACACAUGCAAGUCGAACGAACCUUUCGGGGUUAGUGGCGGACGGGUGAGUAACACGUGGGAACGUUCCCUUAGGUUCGGAAUAACUCAGGGAAACUUGUGCUCAUACCGAAUGUGCCCUUCGGGGGAAAGAUUAAUCGCCUUUAGAGCGGCCCGCGUCUGAUUAGCUAGUUGGUUGAGGUAAUGGCUCACCAAGGCGACGAUCAGUAGCUGGUCUGAGAGGAUGAUCCGCCACAUUGGGACUGAGACACGGCCCAAACUCAUACGGGAGGCAGCAGUGGGGAAUCUUGCGCAAUGGGCGAAAGCCUGACGCAGCCAUGCCGCGUGAAUGAUGAAGGUCUUAGGAUUGUAAAAUUCUUUCACCGGGGACGAUAAUGACGGUACCCGGAGAAGAAGCCCCGGCUAACUUCGUG